GAUGAACGCUGGCGGCGUGCUUAACACAUGCAAGUCGAACGAUGAAGCCCAGCUUGCUGGGUGGAUUAGUGGCGAACGGGUGAGUAACACGUGAGUAACCUGCCCUUAACUCUGGGAUAAGCCUGGGAAACUGGGUCUAAUACCGGAUAGGAGCGUCCACCGCAUGGUGGGUGUUGGAAAGAUUUAUCGGUUUUGGAUGGACUCGCGGCCUAUCAGCUUGUUGGUGAGGUAAUGGCUCACCAAGGCGACGACGGGUAGCCGGCCUGAGAGGGUGACCGGCCACACUGGGACUAAGAAACGGCCCAGACUCCUACGGGAGGCAGCAGUGGGGAAUAUUGCACAAUGGGAGCAAGCCUGAUGCAGCGACGCGGCGUGAGGGAUGACGGCCUUCGGGUUGUAAACCUCUUUCAGUAGGGAAGAAGCGAAAGUGACGGUACCUGCAGAAGAAGCACCGGCUAACUACGUG
Molecule: ribosomal RNA, 466 nt
Filed under: uncultured bacterium
Lineage: Bacteria
Description: partial 16S ribosomal RNA
Rfam family: Bacterial small subunit ribosomal RNA
Source: RNAcentral